CGGGACGAGAGGACGGAGGGGGUUUGCGGGUUUGCAGACUUCAAAUGUAAUCCUUCUUAAACUUCCAGACUGCAGCUUCUACUCCAAGAGGUGCCCCUGUACCCGAAGGCCAUGGGUCGGAUCUCGGGCCUCGUGCCCUCUCGCUUUCUGACGCUCCUGGCACAUCUGGUAGUCGUUAUCACCUUAUUCUGGUCCCGGGACAGCAACAUCCUUGCCUGCCUGCCUCUCAGGUUCACCCCCGAGGAGUAUCAGAAGCAAGACAUUCAGCUGGUAACAGCACUCUCUGUCACCCUGGGCCUCUUUGCAGUGGAGCUGGUCGGUUUCCUCUCAGGAGUUUCCAUGUUCAACAGCACCCAGAGUCUCUUCUCCAUUGGGGCUCACUGUAGCGCUUCUGUGGCCCUAUCCUUCUUCAUAUUCGAGCGUUGGGAGUGUACCACGUACUGGUACAUUUUUGUCUUCUGCAGUGCCCUCCCAGCUAUCACUGAAGUGGCAUUAUUCGUCGCUGUCUUUGGGCUGAAAAAGAAACCUUUCUAAUUAUCUUCAUGGCGGGAAGGUGAACUCUCGGUCAUCACACCUCACCACUUCUCCCGCCUCCACUGUGGAUCUAAAUUUGGAGUUUCUCAGCACCGCAGCCAGCCCAUUCCAGGUGCUGAAGGAGGGUCACCAGCCCGGGAUCUGGACGAGCCUUGGGGCCGCGUGGGCCGUGGACUAGUUUGUUGGUUUCA
Octodon degus (degu) is the source of this 725-nucleotide RNA transcript. It is a transcript of the gene named transmembrane protein 107, with no coding region annotated. The transcript has 7 exons. NCBI's taxonomy places the organism in Eukaryota, Metazoa, Chordata, Mammalia, Rodentia, Octodontidae. The record is from RefSeq and is a predicted model, not a curated record.